UAAGAAUUACACUAUGGGCGCUUUCACAUUUUUAAAUUCAAUGCAAAUCGUGUAUAAAAUACUCAUACUGGAAGCCUUAUUGUUAACGUGUGUAAAAGUCGAAGGUAGCGAAGUUCCGAGUGCCUAUCCUAUCAACAGAUGGAAUUGUACGUACCCAUGUUACUAUGGCGAGG
Molecule: long non-coding RNA, 173 nt
Organism: Centruroides sculpturatus (bark scorpion)
Lineage: Eukaryota; Metazoa; Arthropoda; Arachnida; Scorpiones; Buthidae
Exons: 2
Source: RefSeq, a predicted model, not a curated record